ACGGCUGCCCUCUCGGAGUUCCGCCGGGCCGUGGGUCCAGGCAGGGGAUGCUUCGGGCAGCCGGCAGCCGCAGCCAGCCACGAACGUCCCGGCGGAGAGCGCCUGCCCGCUUUCUCUGCCACUGCUUCUCCUCAGCGCCCCUGGGCUGCGCCCGUAACGGCGGCACGGUAGCCAGCGGAGGCAGAAGGCCACCAGAGCGAGACGCUUGGGCCAUGGGACAGCUUGUCCGGAACGAAGCUAACGAUUCCCACCUCCCCGUACUGCUCAACGGCUGCCGCAGCCGGGGCUCCGCCCCAUUCCCGGAGCCGUCAUCUCUGGCCCGGGAGCCGCCGGGACCGUCAUGCACUCUCUCGCGCUCCGUAAGCGGAGGCUUCUGCCCCCAACAAAGAUGGCUGCCUACUCUGUCCUACUCUGCCCUUCGGCCGGUGUCGAAUGCCAGACUUUCACUUUCGGGUCACUGUUGACGGGGAUGGUGCCGAGUCCGAAGACUGUGGGGCUGGUCAAGCUAGAUUCCCUCCAGACCAUUUCUGUUAUGAGGGGGAAACUACUGGACAGAAUGACAAGGCCAAGGAGGCUGAGAGACUGGGCACCUACUGUGGUCUCCAAAAGUCCUUCCUAUACCCUCCACGAGGGUCUAAGCCCUGCCCUCAAAGCCCUUGUGCCUCAGCAUCCUGCCUCAGUGACUCAGACAACCUGCUUCAGGUGGCCAUGCCUCAGAGGCUCCUGCUGACUGAAGAGAUGAGACUCCAGUUCUCCCAGUCCCCAAAUUCCCAUGUCUAUAUUCUCUCCUAAUCUGGAUCUUCCAAGAUUCGUUCAUACUGCUUACCUCCCUUUCGCUUUCUCUCUCUCUUUUCCUGCCACCUGCCCUUCCUCCUCCAGGAAGCCAGCCGCCUGGCUGAGGAGCUGGUGUCUGAGCAGGAGCGCAUGAAACAGAAAGCAGAGAAGAAACGACUUAAAAAGAAGCGUCAAAAGGAUCAGAAGCGAAGGGAGCGUUUGGAGCAGGAUGGCAGGGAGUCCAACGCGAAUGUCUACAGGCAGGUACUAAGAGCACCAGGUGCCAGGAGGUGGGGGCUGGAAAAGCAGGCGAUCCCAACUCUGCACCUAUUCACCUUCCCUCCAGUCUGAGGCAUUGCAGAUGGGGAUGGGAGCCCCCCCAUCCAGCUCUGGGAGCCCAGCUCAGCGACAGUGUUGCGAGGAAGAGGUAGGAGCCGCCUUCCUUCCCUUCAUGGUCUCUGCCCACCCUCUCCUCCCACUACUCUAGGACAUACCUCAUCCCUGCCCCUCAUUAACUUUCCUUUCUGCUCACGGGACUCACUGGAUCUAUCUAGUACCUUUGUGUCUCUGGCUUUGUGCAAGGUUGGGGAUUGGCCCCCCAGUGCCUGCAGAGAAAAGGGACUGAGUCAGGAGCCCCAAGGCAGGAGCUUGGGUCCCCAAGAGAAGAUGAGUUAGGAGGAAGGAAGCACUCCAAAAGAAGAGAGCCCCAGGCAGAAUCAUAAGGCAGAGGUGAGGAGGAGGGCAGAAGAACCUCAGCUGGAACCAGUGGAAGGGGUGCCAGAGGGCUCUGGGAAGUUACGCAAUCUAAGGGUAGAGGGCAGUGACCAGUAGAAGGAGUUCUCUGGCCCUAGGAUUAAGAGACCUGGGAUCAAGCUCCAUCACUGUCACCCUGACCCGGGGUAGUUUCCUCUGCAAGAAAGUAGGGCUGAUGCCAUCUUGCAGACCUGUCAUGAGGAUUACAUGAGUUGCCUGAUACAAACUGUUUAAACAAAGGAGAAGGAUUUGGGAAGGCUGACGCCUUAAGUCCUGCUUGACUUUGCUUCCCAUUCCUAGGCAUCUCUAGGAUUGCUGGCAGCUGCCUUACAACAGAGCCAGGAGUGAGAUUCUUUCUCUCUCCUUCCUCACCCAUCCCUCCCUGCGAUAGCCCCAUCUGAACCUUCCUACCCUCUCUUCUCCCCAGAGUUUGGUACCAGCUUUGCCCAAAAUGGUUUCCACCACAAGGCCAUGGUCCUCUUCACCCAGGCCUUGAAGCUCAACCCCCGGGACCACCGGUUAUUUGGAAAUCGCUCAUUCUGCCAUGAAUGGCCGGGUCAGCCGGUGUGAGCCCUGGCUGAUGCCCAGGUAGCCCUUACUUUGCGGCCUGGCUGGCCCCGGGGCCUCUUCCACCUGGGCAAAGCCUUGAUGGGACUGCAGCAUUUCGAAGAGGCAGCUGCUGUGUUCCAGGAGACUCUGAGAGGCGGAUCCCAGCCUGACGCAGCCUGGGAGCUCCACUUCUGCCUUCUACAACUCACUCUGCAGGACCAGUGAGGAGGAAGCCCUGGUCCGCCUCUGUCAACUGGAUUCCCCUAUGCAUUUCCCCAUGUUGAGCUGGGGCCUUCAGGCCUCCUCUCCCUCAGUUGUCCUGGAAGCACUGCCCCGAGGGCCCCUGGCCUUCUGUCUCCACCCUUGCAUUAUCCCCCACAUCACCUAAGCCACUCCAGCUGGUCCCUCCCCCAUACUCAGAGCAGAAGACCCUGUCCUCUCCAUUUCCAGGACUCCUCAAAGGGCUGGGGCAUCCUGGGACUUGGGCCCCAGCACCUACCUCACACCAGAUGAAGGAGGACCUGUCCCUAAUAAGGCAAGGCCAUGUGUGCAUCCCACAGGGAUGAAGGACACUGUGUGGUAGCAGUUCACUGCACAUUUUGAGACCUGUACUCUAAAACCAUGGUUGGGAACAUCCCUGGCAGUCAUGCCUCUUGCCACAGAGACCUUCUGAUGAGAGAAAGGAGCCCUACAUCCACUGAAAUAGGCUUUCUUUGGUUCUCAAGCAGAUGGCUUCUUCUGGGAGCAGUAAGGAAAAAUAAAAUCCCCCAAGGCUCAAGAAGGGAUCUGUACAAAAGUUCAGGUUUUCAGACUAUAACAGACCUGGCAGUGGGGCCAUUUGAGGCUUGCCCUGCUUCUUGGCCCUGGGGGACUCACUCACCGGCCAGAGCUCUGUGCUCAGGAUGGGGUCACAGUAAUGAAUAAGGCCCAAGUCUCGCCCUUCAGCUUGACAGAUGCUCACUUCUUCCUAAUCCCAGUUCUUGCCCUGUUUUCUGAAGCCUGAGCUCCUCAUGCCCUGUUUCCUGUCCACACUUCUAUACAUAUUCUGACCUCUCCUUUGCCCAAUGGUCUGAUGCUCCCCUCCUCCCACUGCUAAAAGAUUCACCAAGGGUUUGUAUUUACCAGCUUACCAGCUCCUGCCUGGAGCUGGCAGAGCCCAUACAACUCCAGGUACCUGCACUGCUGGCUCUCCCACUGAUGGGGCCUUAGCAGGUACCCAGGCUUCUGCUACUUUGGUCAUGGUCUUUCUCCACUCCAGCACUGGGCAUUGUAACCAGCCUUUCCCCCAUGUGAAUUUACUUAAUUUUUUCCACCCAGGGUCACUGCCCCUAAAGAAGGCUAAAAUCCUCUACUUUCUGAAUAAGAAUCAUGACCUUCUGGUUUCUCCUCUAAGAUCCUGGCAGCUGCUCCUGGCUGGUUCCUCCCUAGCUCUGCCUGGGACUCUCAGCUCAUUUAAAUGUGGAUCUGUAGGGGACUUUUAGGCCUCCAGAAUGCCUUUCCUAGAGGAACCAUUUAUCAGGAUGAAUGACUCUUGCUGUCCUAUGGGUCUUAUUCAACACCAUUUGCACCUAGAGAUAGGAGAUGCUGAAGCACCUCUUUAUUUAAGGCUGUCCCAAAUUCUUUUUAUUGUUUAUGGUUUCAGGCCCCUCAAAUACUGUAUGACAGAUUGAAGUCUGCCAUUACUAGUUGGGUCACCUUCGGCAGAUUUCUUAACACCUGUGCUUCAGUUUCCUCAUCUGUAAAAUGUGGGCAAUCCCUACCUCACAGGGCUGUUGUGAGGGCUGAAAGAGAAAGUGUGAGAACCUACCUACCGAAAGCCUGGUACAUAGUGGGUGUUAAAUAAACUGAUUUUUGUCUG
Balaenoptera musculus (blue whale) is the source of this 3934-nucleotide RNA transcript. It is a transcript of the gene named tetratricopeptide repeat domain 31, with no coding region annotated. NCBI's taxonomy places the organism in Eukaryota, Metazoa, Chordata, Mammalia, Artiodactyla, Balaenopteridae. The record is from RefSeq and is a predicted model, not a curated record. The transcript is spliced from 6 exons.